This 406-nucleotide ribosomal RNA is filed under the name uncultured bacterium. RNAcentral's name for it is "partial 16S ribosomal RNA". It matches the Rfam family "Bacterial small subunit ribosomal RNA", at positions 30 to 526 of the family's 1533-position model. The record is from RNAcentral.
AUUGAACGCUGGCGGCAGGCCUAACACAUGCAAGUCGAACGAGUGGCGGACGGGUGAGUGAUGUAUGGGCAACUGCCUGAUGGAGGGGGAUAACUACUGGAAACGGUAGCUAAUACCGCAUACCAUCAGAUGUGGCCAGAUGGGAUUAGCUAGUCGGUGGGGUAACGGCUGACCAAGGCGACGAUCCCUAGCUGGUCUGAGAGGAUGAUCAGCCACACUGGGACUGAGACACGGCCCAGACUCCUACGGGAGGCAGCAGUGGGGAAUAUUGCACAAUGGGCGCAAGCCUGAUGCAGCCAUGCCGCGUGUAUGAAGAAGGCCUUCGGGUUGUAAAGUACUGUCAGUGGGGAGGCGUUACCGAAAGAAGAAGCACCGGCUAACUCCGUGCCAGCCGCCGCGGUAAUAC